RNAcentral lists this ribosomal RNA (251 nucleotides) under uncultured bacterium. RNAcentral's name for it is "partial 16S ribosomal RNA". It matches the Rfam family "Bacterial small subunit ribosomal RNA", at positions 524 to 776 of the family's 1533-position model. The record is from RNAcentral.
UACGUAGGGUGCGAGCGUUGUCCGGAAUUAUUGGCGUAAAGAGCUCGUAGGCGGUCUGUCGCGUCGGAUGUGAAAACUCGGGCUCAACCCCGAGCCUGCAUUCGAUACGGGCGGGCUAGAGUUCGGUAGGGGAGACUGGAAUUCCUGGUGUAGCGGUGAAAUGCGCAGAUAUCAGGAGGAACACCGGUGGCGAAGGCGGGUCUCUGGGCCGAUACUGACGCUGAGGAGCGAAAGCGUGGGGAGCGAACAGG